UACGUAGGGGGCAAGCGUUGUCCGGAUUUAUUGGGCGUAAAGAGCGUGUAGGCGGCCUUUUAAGUCCUGCGUGAAAUCCUGCGGCUCAACCGCAGACGGUCGUGGGAAACUGGAAGGCUAGAGUGCGGGAGAGGAGAGUGGAAUUCCCGGUGUAGCGGUGAAAUGCGCAGAUAUCGGGAAGAACACCCGUGGCGAAGGCGGCUCACUGGACCGGAACUGACGCUGAGGUGCGAAAGCGUGGGGAGCAAACAGG
RNAcentral lists this ribosomal RNA (253 nucleotides) under uncultured bacterium. RNAcentral's name for it is "partial 16S ribosomal RNA". It matches the Rfam family "Bacterial small subunit ribosomal RNA", at positions 524 to 776 of the family's 1533-position model. The record is from RNAcentral.